CCCUUAGAUGUUCUGGGCCGCACGCGCGCUACACUGAUGCAUUCAACGAGUCUAAAACCUGCUCUGAUAGGGGUGGGUAAUCUUAUGAAUGUGCAUCGUGAUUGGGAUAGAUGAUUGCAAUUUUUCAUCUUCAACGAGGAAUGCCUAGUAAACGCAAGUCAUCAGCUUGCAUUGAUUACGUCCCUGCCCUUUGUACACACCGCCCGUCGCUCCUACCGAUUGAAUGAUCCGAUGAAUAUCAUGGAUUGAGGAUGCAAGUAGGUUAGCCUAUCUUCAUCUUCGAGAAGUGAAGUAAAUCUUAUCAUUUAGAGGAAGGAGAAGUCGUAACA
RNAcentral lists this ribosomal RNA (329 nucleotides) under uncultured eukaryote. RNAcentral describes it as "partial 18S ribosomal RNA". It matches the Rfam family "Eukaryotic small subunit ribosomal RNA", at positions 1470 to 1796 of the family's 1831-position model. The record is from RNAcentral.